This 281-nucleotide ribosomal RNA is filed under the name Tamlana crocina. Its description in RNAcentral is "partial 16S ribosomal RNA". It matches the Rfam family "Bacterial small subunit ribosomal RNA", at positions 443 to 722 of the family's 1533-position model. Lineage: Bacteria; Pseudomonadati; Bacteroidota; Flavobacteriia; Flavobacteriales; Flavobacteriaceae. The record is from RNAcentral.
GGAAGAAACACUCCCACGUGUGGGGGCUUGACGGUACCGUAUGAAUAAGGAUCGGCUAACUCCGUGCCAGCAGCCGCGGUAAUACGGAGGAUCCAAGCGUUAUCCGGAAUCAUUGGGUUUAAAGGGUCCGUAGGCGGGUUAAUAAGUCAGUGGUGAAAGUCUGCAGCUCAACUGUAGAAUUGCCAUUGAUACUGUUAACCUUGAGUAGUUAUGAAGUGGUUAGAAUAUGUAGUGUAGCGGUGAAAUGCAUAGAUAUUACAUAGAAUACCGAUUGCGAAGGC